This 2516-nucleotide ribosomal RNA is filed under the name Escherichia coli. Its description in RNAcentral is "partial 23S ribosomal RNA". It matches the Rfam family "Bacterial large subunit ribosomal RNA", at positions 419 to 2915 of the family's 2925-position model. Lineage: Bacteria; Pseudomonadati; Pseudomonadota; Gammaproteobacteria; Enterobacterales; Enterobacteriaceae. The record is from RNAcentral.
GGGACACGUGGUAUCCUGUCUGAAUAUGGGGGGACCAUCCUCCAAGGCUAAAUACUCCUGACUGACCGAUAGUGAACCAGUACCGUGAGGGAAAGGCGAAAAGAACCCCGGCGAGGGGAGUGAAAAAGAACCUGAAACCGUGUACGUACAAGCAGUGGGAGCACGCUUAGGCGUGUGACUGCGUACCUUUUGUAUAAUGGGUCAGCGACUUAUAUUCUGUAGCAAGGUUAACCGAAUAGGGGAGCCGAAGGGAAACCGAGUCUUAACUGGGCGUUAAGUUGCAGGGUAUAGACCCGAAACCCGGUGAUCUAGCCAUGGGCAGGUUGAAGGUUGGGUAACACUAACUGGAGGACCGAACCGACUAAUGUUGAAAAAUUAGCGGAUGACUUGUGGCUGGGGGUGAAAGGCCAAUCAAACCGGGAGAUAGCUGGUUCUCCCCGAAAGCUAUUUAGGUAGCGCCUCGUGAAUUCAUCUCCGGGGGUAGAGCACUGUUUCGGCAAGGGGGUCAUCCCGACUUACCAACCCGAUGCAAACUGCGAAUACCGGAGAAUGUUAUCACGGGAGACACACGGCGGGUGCUAACGUCCGUCGUGAAGAGGGAAACAACCCAGACCGCCAGCUAAGGUCCCAAAGUCAUGGUUAAGUGGGAAACGAUGUGGGAAGGCCCAGACAGCCAGGAUGUUGGCUUAGAAGCAGCCAUCAUUUAAAGAAAGCGUAAUAGCUCACUGGUCGAGUCGGCCUGCGCGGAAGAUGUAACGGGGCUAAACCAUGCACCGAAGCUGCGGCAGCGACGCUUAUGCGUUGUUGGGUAGGGGAGCGUUCUGUAAGCCUGUGAAGGUGUGCUGUGAGGCAUGCUGGAGGUAUCAGAAGUGCGAAUGCUGACAUAAGUAACGAUAAAGCGGGUGAAAAGCCCGCUCGCCGGAAGACCAAGGGUUCCUGUCCAACGUUAAUCGGGGCAGGGUGAGUCGACCCCUAAGGCGAGGCCGAAAGGCGUAGUCGAUGGGAAACAGGUUAAUAUUCCUGUACUUGGUGUUACUGCGAAGGGGGGACGGAGAAGGCUAUGUUGGCCGGGCGACGGUUGUCCCGGUUUAAGCGUGUAGGCUGGUUUUCCAGGCAAAUCCGGAAAAUCAAGGCUGAGGCGUGAUGACGAGGCACUACGGUGCUGAAGCAACAAAUGCCCUGCUUCCAGGAAAAGCCUCUAAGCAUCAGGUAACAUCAAAUCGUACCCCAAACCGACACAGGUGGUCAGGUAGAGAAUACCAAGGCGCUUGAGAGAACUCGGGUGAAGGAACUAGGCAAAAUGGUGCCGUAACUUCGGGAGAAGGCACGCUGAUACGUAGGUGAAGUCCCUCGCGGAUGGAGCUGAAAUCAGUCGAAGAUACCAGCUGGCUGCAACUGUUUAUUAAAAACACAGCACUGUGCAAACACGAAAGUGGACGUAUACGGUGUGACGCCUGCCCGGUGCCGGAAGGUUAAUUGAUGGGGUCAGCGCAAGCGAAGCUCUUGAUCGAAGCCCCGGUAAACGGCGGCCGUAACUAUAACGGUCCUAAGGUAGCGAAAUUCCUUGUCGGGUAAGUUCCGACCUGCACGAAUGGCGUAAUGAUGGCCAGGCUGUCUCCACCCGAGACUCAGUGAAAUUGAACUCGCUGUGAAGAUGCAGUGUACCCGCGGCAAGACGGAAAGACCCCGUGAACCUUUACUAUAGCUUGACACUGAACAUUGAGCCUUGAUGUGUAGGAUAGGUGGGAGGCUUUGAAGUGUGGACGCCAGUCUGCAUGGAGCCGACCUUGAAAUACCACCCUUUAAUGUUUGAUGUUCUAACGUUGACCCGUGAUCCGGGUUGCGGACAGUGUCUGGUGGGUAGUUUGACUGGGGCGGUCUCCUCCUAAAGAGUAACGGAGGAGCACGAAGGUUGGCUAAUCCUGGUCGGACAUCAGGAGGUUAGUGCAAUGGCAUAAGCCAGCUUGACUGCGAGCGUGACGGCGCGAGCAGGUGCGAAAGCAGGUCAUAGUGAUCCGGUGGUUCUGAAUGGAAGGGCCAUCGCUCAACGGAUAAAAGGUACUCCGGGGAUAACAGGCUGAUACCGCCCAAGAGUUCAUAUCGACGGCGGUGUUUGGCACCUCGAUGUCGGCUCAUCACAUCCUGGGGCUGAAGUAGGUCCCAAGGGUAUGGCUGUUCGCCAUUUAAAGUGGUACGCGAGCUGGGUUUAGAACGUCGUGAGACAGUUCGGUCCCUAUCUGCCGUGGGCGCUGGAGAACUGAGGGGGGCUGCUCCUAGUACGAGAGGACCGGAGUGGACGCAUCACUGGUGUUCGGGUUGUCAUGCCAAUGGCACUGCCCGGUAGCUAAAUGCGGAAGAGAUAAGUGCUGAAAGCAUCUAAGCACGAAACUUGCCCCGAGAUGAGUUCUCCCUGACUCCUUGAGAGUCCUGAAGGAACGUUGAAGACGACGACGUUGAUAGGCCGGGUGUGUAAGCGCAGCGAUGCGUUGAGCUAACCGGUACUAAUGAACCGUGAG